UGGAAACCAUGGGUGAGCGGGAGA
Molecule: non-coding RNA, 24 nt
Filed under: Mus musculus (house mouse)
Lineage: Eukaryota; Metazoa; Chordata; Mammalia; Rodentia; Muridae
Source: RNAcentral